GAAAAAAAAAAUAAUCUCUUGGGCCUAACAUUCAUAAGAUUAUGUGGGGCUUGAGGAUUUAUGGUUUGCCUCUGCAAGUGGUCCAGCGUUAGGUUAGUAAUAAGUCCAUUACCUAACAAACUACCAAGUGGCCUGAUUCUACAACUCUGACCAACUUCAGUUCAGUUGUUUUUGGUAUGUUCCUUAGCAUUGACUUCAAAUCUAAGUUUAGUUUU
Molecule: unclassified non-coding RNA, 215 nt
Filed under: Hevea brasiliensis (rubber tree)
Lineage: Eukaryota; Viridiplantae; Streptophyta; Magnoliopsida; Malpighiales; Euphorbiaceae
Source: RNAcentral